UGUGGUCAGGCAUGGCGAGAAAAUAAUAAUGGGAAAUUCCAGAAACCAACAAUCCCUCAGUUUGGAAUUGAAGGCCGUUCUGAGUCUAGUGGAUGAAAUCUAAGCCACCUGCUCCAUCCUGCCUGGGACAUGAACUGUCCCUUUGUCCAGUGGAUCCACACCCAUCAACACUACCCGCUGGUCAUCAGCGCGGCCACCAGAGCGGUCGACCCGGUCCACAGCUGCUUACGUUCAGCUCACCCUUGUUUUACUUCACAUCGGCUUCAGGGUGCAAGAGCUGAGCUUGUGGCCCAGGAGUGUGUAGAGAGAAGCUGGAAAUGCUUCCAUCCAGUGAGACAGUGAAGAUCCAGGAGAUAUUCUGAGAGAGAGAAGGAGCACGUUCACAUUAUUACAGUAUGUUGCUGUAAAAACAUGUUUUUGAAGCUGGGUGUGGUGCACACACCUGCAGUCCCAGCACCCUGCCUGUCUCCAAGGGGCAGCGCUUCCCAGCCCUGAGUGCAGCGUCCUGCAGGACAUGGGCG
RNAcentral lists this long non-coding RNA (521 nucleotides) under Heterocephalus glaber (naked mole-rat). RNAcentral describes it as "lncRNA (ENSHGLG00000036495.1)". Lineage: Eukaryota; Metazoa; Chordata; Mammalia; Rodentia; Bathyergidae. The record is from RNAcentral.